Sapajus apella (tufted capuchin) is the source of this 1559-nucleotide long non-coding RNA. RefSeq lists it as uncharacterized. The transcript is spliced from 2 exons. The record is from RefSeq and is a predicted model, not a curated record. NCBI's taxonomy places the organism in Eukaryota, Metazoa, Chordata, Mammalia, Primates, Cebidae.
CCCGGCUGUCACUUCCUAACGCUUAGAAACAAUAAAUGCGGAAUUAUUCCAACAAGACUUCAGGGCUGCUGGAUGAGCCGCCUCUUGGCAUAGCAUAGCUGAAGGUGGGAGGCUGCACAAGCCCUGUUUUCUCCCCAUCACCCAAGAAGGUCCUGGCUUGACUCUCCCGUCUACAUCACUGGCUGCCCUGGACAGCUCUCCACACGAAGCCAGCUGCUACCGGGAAUCGUACCUCCAUGUCCCACCUCCCUGAAGUCUUUUUCUUUUUUGGUCACGUUAUAAAUGGGGUGACAGACGCUCUGGGAGACCCUGAUGUCCACUGGGUCUCCAUCCUUUGAGAUCUGGCUAAGACUGCCUAGUUUUCCUGAGCCGGUGCUCAGCGGUAUUCUCAUCCACUCUCACAGUCUCUGUGAGUCCUCAUAGGGGCUCUGGAACUGGGGAUCAUCUCUGGUGUUAUGUUUGCCUCGUACUGGUGCCGAUGUGAAAUACCCCAAACCUACACACAUGAGGCAAGUUGUGUACAUAGGAGAAUUUCCUGAAGCCAGGGGCAGAGGAGGGGCAGCAGAGAUGCGGUUCCAUCCCUGCCCUGUGAAAAGCUGCAGACUGAAUGUUGGCCUCCGUUUUUCUGAAAAGCCUUUGCAGCAGGAUUUCUCAGCCUUCUCCAGUGCCCCUGCCUCCCCUCACCCCAUCUGAGCUGUCCUCCGCUCUUCUCUUUACCUACAUACUGCUCUGUGGAGCUUGCUUCCUGGUUGCUUUGCUGUGUGCCAGCCCAGACCCUCAGCGUCUCAUCGCCACACCGCAAAACGUCUCAUCUUAUCACCAGAUAGCAGAGAAACGCAUUUCCCCAAACAACCAGUUCCUUCUCGAGAGGACUUCUGGAAGCAGUGGCUAAGAUGCCAAAGUUUUUAUUCUGUUGUGAACGGAACGAACAGGUGUCUCUGGCAGGUUUAGUCCUGGUUGUGGGUAGCCCAGCAGGGAUCUCUGUUCACUUUGUACUGUGUCUUCUUGUUUAGAUGCUCACUUUAGGACGAUGCCCUGCAGGCAGCUCCUGCACUUCCUGCAGAAGAACACCAUCAUCGCCGCAGUCUCAGGGGUGGCUGUCCUCGCAGCUGCCGUGCUGUUGCUGCUCGGGUUGGCCUCAUACAUCAGGAGGAAACAGCCAUCAUCUCCUCUGGCAAAGACGACAUACAAUAUUUUUAUAAUGAAUGGAAAGGCAUGGUGGCAAAAUUCUGAAGAAAAGAAUUUCACAAAAUAUGCAAAAAAACAGACACAGUUGAAGUGCAGUUCCUGUGUCUAAGCCAGGUCGCGGGGCCGUCAAGCCAGCACUUGAAACCACGAUGCGAGGACGUUCUCCAUGUGCUCACCACAGGGAAGCAAGUCCACUUCUGCCUGGGAGAUGCAUUCUACUAAAGCGUCUGCUUCCCGUCCCGAUCUCGAAUGGACCGAGAAAAACUGCUUUACUACAGGACACUUGUGGCAAAAUGGCACCGAUGGCCGGCACCAGCGAACCUGACGGACGAUGGACUUAUCAUUUAAUAAAGCGUUGAUUCAUGUAUUCA